Molecule: ribosomal RNA, 609 nt
Filed under: Escherichia coli
Lineage: Bacteria; Pseudomonadati; Pseudomonadota; Gammaproteobacteria; Enterobacterales; Enterobacteriaceae
Description: partial 23S ribosomal RNA
Rfam family: Bacterial large subunit ribosomal RNA
Source: RNAcentral
UGGUGGGUAGUUUGACUGGGGCGGUCUCCUCCUAAAGAGUAACGGAGGAGCACGAAGGUUGGCUAAUCCUGGUCGGACAUCAGGAGGUUAGUGCAAUGGCAUAAGCCAGCUUGACUGCGAGCGUGACGGCGCGAGCAGGUGCGAAAGCAGGUCAUAGUGAUCCGGUGGUUCUGAAUGGAAGGGCCAUCGCUCAACGGAUAAAAGGUACUCCGGGGAUAACAGGCUGAUACCGCCCAAGAGUUCAUAUCGACGGCGGUGUUUGGCACCUCGAUGUCGGCUCAUCACAUCCUGGGGCUGAAGUAGGUCCCAAGGGUAUGGCUGUUCGCCAUUUAAAGUGGUACGCGAGCUGGGUUUAGAACGUCGUGAGACAGUUCGGUCCCUAUCUGCCGUGGGCGCUGGAGAACUGAGGGGGGCUGCUCCUAGUACGAGAGGACCGGAGUGGACGCAUCACUGGUGUUCGGGUUGUCAUGCCAAUGGCACUGCCCGGUAGCUAAAUGCGGAAGAGAUAAGUGCUGAAAGCAUCUAAGCACGAAACUUGCCCCGAGAUGAGUUCUCCCUGACUCCCUGAGAGUCCUGAAGGAACGUUGAAGACGACGACGUUGAUAGGCC